GCGUAAUUGGUUUAGUGGUAAAAUUCUCCGUUGCCAUUCGAGCAGAUUUGCACCUUCCUCGUUGAUAGACGUCGGCAACCAAAUCUCCACUAAUUUUACAAUUAUACUUUAUGAUCUGGGGGGUUCCUUCGGAACCCCCAAGAUCAUAAAGAGCCCUGGGUUCGAUUCCCAGAUUACGCA
Fusarium oxysporum is the source of this 180-nucleotide transfer RNA. It matches the Rfam family "tRNA". From Rfam's summary of the family: Transfer RNA (tRNA) molecules are approximately 80 nucleotides in length. Their secondary structure includes four short double-helical elements and three loops (D, anti-codon, and T loops). Further hydrogen bonds mediate the characteristic L-shaped molecular structure. tRNAs have two regions of fundamental functional importance: the anti-codon, which is responsible for specific mRNA codon recognition, and the 3' end, to which the tRNAs corresponding amino acid is attached (by aminoacyl-tRNA synthetases). tRNAs cope with the degeneracy of the genetic code in two manners: having more than one tRNA (with a specific anti-codon) for a particular amino acid; and 'wobble' base-pairing, i.e. permitting non-standard base-pairing at the 3rd anti-codon position. The record is from Rfam. Lineage: Eukaryota; Fungi; Ascomycota; Sordariomycetes; Hypocreales; Nectriaceae.